GACGAACGCUGGCGGCGUGCUUAACACAUGCAAGUCGAGCGGAAAGGCCUUUCGGGGUACUCGAGCGGCGAACGGGUGAGUAACACGUGAGCAACCUGCCCUUAGCUUUGGGAUAACCCUCGGAAACGGGGGCUAAUACCGAAUAUUCACUGCCGGGCGCAUGUUUGGUGGUGUAAAGUUUUUCGGCUAGGGAUGGGCUCGCGGCCUAUCAGCUUGUUGGUGGGGUAAUGGCCUACCAAGGCGACGACGGGUAGCCGGCCUGAGAGGGCGACCGGCCACACUGGGACUGAGACACGGCCCAGACUCCUACGGGAGGCAGCAGUGGGGAAUAUUGCACAAUGGGCGGAAGCCUGAUGCAGCGACGCCGCGUGAGGGAUGACGGCCUUCGGGUUGUAAACCUCUUUCAGCUCCGACGAAGCGAAAGUGACGGUAGGGGCAGAAGAAGCGCCGGCCAACUACGUGCCAGCAGCCGCGGUAAGACGUAGGGCGCGAGCGUUGUCCCGGAUUUAUGGGCGUAAAGAGCUCGUAGGCGGCUUGUCGCGUCGACUGUGAAAACCCGUGGCUCAACCAUGUGGUCUGCAGUCGAUACGGGCAGGCUAGAAUUCGGUAGGGGAGACUGGAAUUCCUGGUGUAGCGGUGAAAUGCGCAGAUAUCAGGAGGAACACCGGUGGCGAAGGCGGGUCUCUGGGCCGAUAUUGACGCUGAGGAGCGAAAGCGUGGGGAGCGAACAGGAUUAGAUACCCUGGUAGUCCACGCUGUAAACGUUGGGCGCUAGGUGUGGGGGGCCUCUCCGGUCCUCUGUGCCGCAGCUAACGCAUUAAGCGCCCCGCCUGGGGAGUACGGCCGCAAGGCUAAAACUCAAAGGAAUUGACGGGGGCCCGCACAAGCGGCGGAGCAUGCGGAUUAAUUCGAUGCAACGCGAAGAACCUUACCUGGGUUUGACAUGGGCGCUAAAGCCGCAGAGAUGUGGUGUCCUUCGGGGGCGUUCACAGGUGGUGCAUGGCUGUCGUCAGUUCGUGUCGUGAGAUGUUGGGUUAAGUCCCGCAACGAGCGCAACCCUUAUUCCAUGUUGCCAGCGGGUUAUGCCGGGGACUCAUGGGAGACUGCCGGGGUCAACUCGGAGGAAGGUGGGGAUGACGUCAAGUCAUCAUGCCCCUUAUGUCCAGGGCUUCACGCAUGCUACAAUGGCCGGUACAAAGGGCUGCGAUACCGCGAGGUGGAGCGAAUCCCAAAAAGCCGGUCUCAGUUCGGAUCGGGGUCUGCAACUCGACCCCGUGAAGUCGGAGUCGCUAGUAAUCGCAGAUCAGCAACGCUGCGGUGAAUACGUUCCCGGGCCU
This 1337-nucleotide ribosomal RNA is filed under the name uncultured bacterium. Its description in RNAcentral is "bacterial SSU rRNA". It matches the Rfam family "Bacterial small subunit ribosomal RNA", at positions 28 to 1381 of the family's 1533-position model. The record is from RNAcentral.